This 381-nucleotide ribosomal RNA is filed under the name uncultured eukaryote. Its description in RNAcentral is "partial 18S ribosomal RNA". It matches the Rfam family "Eukaryotic small subunit ribosomal RNA", at positions 592 to 976 of the family's 1831-position model. The record is from RNAcentral.
CAAUAGCGUAUAUUAAAGUUGUUGCGGUAAAAAAGCUCGUAGUUGGAUUUCUACCGAAGAUAGCCGGUCGGGUCUUCGACCUUGUAUCUGGUUUUGUCUUUGGUAUCCUCAUAGGGAACGUUUCUGCGCUUUAUUGCGUGGUGCGGUAUCUAUGACUUUUACUUUGAGGAAAUUAGAGUGUUCACGGCAGGCAAACGCCUUGAAUAUAUUAGCAUGGAAUAAUAACAUAGGAUCUUCGUCCUAUUUUGUUGGUUUCUAGGGCUAAGAUAAUGAUUAAUAGGGAUAAUUGGGGGCAUCUGUAUCAACGCGUCAGAGGGGGAAUUCUUGGAUUGCGUUGCGACAAACUACUGCGAAAGCAUUUGCCAAGGAUGUUUUCAUUGA